AGUUUGAUCCUGGCUCAGGAUGCAAGCUGGCGGCCUGCCUAGCACCUGCAAUUGAAACGGCGAUUAAGACGAAGUUUUCGGAUGGAAUUUUCAUCGUCGUGGCGGACGGGUGAGUAACGCUGGGAUCACCUGCCUUUUGGCGGGGGAUAGCAGCUGGAAACCGUCUGGUGAUACCGCAUGCGCCUUUUUCUGCGCGAGAAGAGGGAAGGUGUAAAUAUAUAUUGCCUAACUAUGGAUCCUCCUCUGAUUAACCCUGUGGCGCGGUAACCGCCUACCAAACCACCAAUCCGCAGCCAGACUGAGAGGGCGGACGGCCACCUUGGGACUGACACCCCGCCCAGACUCCUACCGCACGCACCAGCGGGGGAUAUUGCACAAUGCGGGAAACCCUGAUGCAGCGACACCGCGAGACUGAAAAACUAUUUCUGUAUGUAAAGCUCUAUCAGCAGGGAAGAGACGCCCGAAAGGCAGAUGACGGUACCUGACUAAGAAGCCCCGGCUAACUACGUGCCACCACCCGCGGGACUACCUACGGGGCAAGCGUCAUCCGGAUUUACUGGGUGUAAACGGAGCGCAAACAGAUGUGCACGUCUGAAGUGAAACCCCACGCCUCAACUGCCGCACUGCUUUGCAAACUGUAAAUCUGGAGUAUCACAGAGGCAAGCGGAAUUCCUGGUGUAGCGGUGAAAUGCGUAGAUAUCAGGAAGAACACCGGAGGCGAAGGCGGCUUGCUGGACGAUAACUGACGCUGAGGCGCGAAAGCGUGGGGAGCAAACAGGAUUAGAUACCCUGGUAGUCCACGCUGUAAACGAUGAAUACUAGGUGUGGGAGGACUGACCCCUUCCGUGCCGCAGUUAACACAAUAAGUAUUCCACCUGGGGAGUACGACCGCAAGGUUGAAACUCAAAGGAAUUGACGGGGGCCCGCACAAGCAGUGGAUUAUGUGGUUUAAUUCGACGCAACGCGAAGAACCUUACCAGGGUUUGACAUCCAACUAACGAAGCAGAGAUGCAUUAGGUGCCCUUCGGGGAAAGUUGAGACAGGUGGUGCAUGGUUGUCGUCAGCUCGUGUCGUGAGAUGUUGGGUUAAGUCCCGCAACGAGCGCAACCCCUAUUGUUAGUUGCUACGCAAGAGCACUCUAGCGAGACUGCCGUUGACAAAACGGAGGAAGGCGGGGACGACGUCAAAUCAUCAUGCCCCUUAUAUCCUGGGCUACACACGUAAUACAAUGGUGGUAAACAGAGGGAAGCAAAGCCGCGAGGUGGAGCAAAUCCCUAAAAGCCAUCUCAGUUCGGAUUGCAGGCUGCAACUCGCCUGCAUGAAGCUGGAAUUGCUAGUAAUCGCGGAUCAGCAUGCCGCGGUGAAUACGUUCCCGGGCCUUGCACUCACCGCCCGUCA
This 1398-nucleotide ribosomal RNA is filed under the name uncultured bacterium. RNAcentral's name for it is "bacterial SSU rRNA". It matches the Rfam family "Bacterial small subunit ribosomal RNA". The record is from RNAcentral.